AGAGUUUGAUCAUGGCUCAGGAUGAACGCUGGCGGCGUGCCUAAUACAUGCAAGUCGAACGAAUCUUGGUGAAUGAAUUGGAGUGCUUGCACAAAGAGACAUUUACAAUGAGAUGAGUGGCGGACGGGUGAGUAACACGUGGGUAACCUGCCCUGAAGUGGGGGAUAACAUUUGGAAACAGAUGCUAAUACCGCAUAACAAUGAUAGUCACAUGACAAUUAUUUGAAAGAUGGAGCAAUCUAUCACUUCAGGAUGGACCUGCGGCGUAUUAGCUAGUUGGUAAGGUAAAGGCUUACCAAGGCGAUGAUACGUAGCCGACUUGAGAGAGUGAUCGGCCACAUUGGGACUGAGACACGGCCCAAACUCCUACGGGAGGCAGCAGUAGGGAAUCUUCCACAAUGGACGAAAGUCUGAUGGAGCAACGCCGCGUGAGUGAAGAAGGGUUUCGGCUCGUAAAACUCUGUUAUUGGAGAAGAAGGAUAAGGUAAGUAACUGUACUUUAUUUGACGGUACCCAACCAGAAAGUCACGGCUAACUACGUGCCAGCAGCCGCGGUAAUACGUAGGUGGCAAGCGUUAUCCGGAUUUAUUGGGCGUAAAGCGAGUGCAGGCGGUUUUAUAAGUCUGAUGUGAAAGCCCUCGGCUCAACCGAGGAACUGCAUCAGAAACUGUGAGACUUGAGUGCAGAAGAGGAGAGUGGAACUCCAUGUGUAGCGGUGGAAUGCGUAGAUAUAUGGAAGAACACCAGUGGCGAAGGCGGCUCUCUGGUCUGUAACUGACGCUGAGGCUCGAAAGCAUGGGUAGCGAACAGGAUUAGAUACCCUGUAGUCCAUGCCGUAACGAUGAGUGCUAAGUGUUGGGGGGUUUCCGCUCCUCAGUGCUGCAGCUAACGCAUUAAGCACUCCGCCUGGGGAGUACGACCGCAGUGAAACUCAAAGGAAUUGACGG
Molecule: ribosomal RNA, 947 nt
Filed under: uncultured bacterium
Lineage: Bacteria
Description: bacterial SSU rRNA
Rfam family: Bacterial small subunit ribosomal RNA
Source: RNAcentral